RNAcentral lists this ribosomal RNA (347 nucleotides) under uncultured bacterium. Its description in RNAcentral is "partial 16S ribosomal RNA". It matches the Rfam family "Bacterial small subunit ribosomal RNA", at positions 338 to 701 of the family's 1533-position model. The record is from RNAcentral.
CCUACGGGCGGCAGCAGUGGGGAAUAUUGCACAAUGGGGGAAACCCUGAUGCAGCGACGCCGCGUGAGUGAAGAAGGAGUUCGGGAUGUAAAGCUCUAUCAGCAGGAACGAGACAAGACGGUACCGGACGAAGAAGCACCGGCUAACUACGUGCCAGCAGCCGCGGUAAGACGUCGGGGGCAAGCGUUCUCCGGAAUCACGGGGUGUAAAGGGAGCGUAGACGGCUGAGCAAGCCUGAAGUGAAAGGCGGGGGCCCAACCCCUGGACUGCUUUGGUAACUGUACGGCUGGAGUGAAGGAGAGGUAAGUGGAAUUCCUUGUGUAGCGGUGACAUGCGUAGAUAUUAGG